CUCUUCAUGUAACACGUUGGCCUAAGAGAUCUAUAGAGCUUUUUAAAAACAAAGAAGGCAGCAAGAUUUAAAAUAAUAAAACCAGCAAUAGGUAUUUUUAAAAGUGAGAGAAACUAUCAGAGAGCUGUAGCAGAAAAGCAAGUUAAAAAUAAAGGAAACAGAAAAGGAACUGAUACAGCUGAUUUGAUACUGGAAAAAUCACCCAGGAGGCAGCGUGGACAAUGGAUUGGAGAAGGGCGAACAUUCAGUCAGAGACUUUGCUUACUGUAAAUUAGAGGGAGCAAAUUGGAGGAGAAAUGACAAAAGAAACAGAAAAAAUGUUUAAUCAGACAAAGGAACUAAAAAACCUCAGUCUUAAUUAGAAGAUGGUCAAACAAAUCUCUUAACUGAUGUUCACAAUGAUGGUUUCAAGUCAUCUAAGGAAUGGCUGGCUCUUGGAUGGAUGUUUGGCUGAAACAUUU
RNAcentral lists this long non-coding RNA (461 nucleotides) under Homo sapiens (human). Its description in RNAcentral is "HSALNT0341776". The record is from RNAcentral. Lineage: Eukaryota; Metazoa; Chordata; Mammalia; Primates; Hominidae.